UUAAGCGACUAAGCGUACACGGUGGAUGCCCUGGCAGUCAGAGGCGAUGAAGGACGUGCUAAUCUGCGAAAAGCGUCGGUAAGGUGAUAUGAACCGUUAUAGCCGGCGAUGUCCGAAUGGGGAAACCCAGUGCAAUUCGUUGCACUAUCGUUAACUGAAUACAUAGGUUAACGAGGCGAACCGGGGGAACUGAAACAUCUAAGUACCCCGAGGAAAAGAAAUCAACCGAGAUUCCCCCAGUAGCGGCGAGCGAACGGGGAGCAGCCCAGAGUCUGAAUCAGCUUGUGUGUUAGUGGAACGGUCUGGAAAGUCCGACGGUACAGGGUGAUAGUCCCGUACACCAAAAUGCACAGGCUGUGAACUCGAAGAGUAGGGCGGGACACGUGGUAUCCUGUCUGAAUAUGGGGGGACCAUCCUCCAAGGCUAAAUACUCCUGACUGACCGAUAGUGAACCAGUACCGUGAGGGAAAGGCGAAAAGAACCCCGGCGAGGGGAGUGAAAAAGAACCUGAAACCGUGUACGUACAAGCAGUGGGAGCACCUUCGGGUGUGACUGCGUACCUUUUGUAUAAUGGGUCAGCGACUUAUAUUCUGUAGCAAGGUUAACCGUAUAGGGGAGCCGCAGGGAAACCGAGUCUUAACUGGGCGUUAAGUUGCAGGGUAUAGACCCGAAACCCGGUGAUCUAGCCAUGGGCAGGUUGAAGGUUGGGUAACACUAACUGGAGGACCGAACCGACUAAUGUUGAAAAAUUAGCGGAUGACUUGUGGCUGGGGGUGAAAGGCCAAUCAAACCGGGAGAUAGCUGGUUCUCCCCGAAAGCUAUUUAGGUAGCGCCUCGUGAAUUCAUCUUCGGGGGUAGAGCACUGUUUCGGCUAGGGGGUCAUCCCGACUUACCAACCCGAUGCAAACUACGAAUACCGAAGAAUGUUAUCACGGGAGACACACGGCGGGUGCUAACGUCCGUCGUGAAGAGGGAAACAACCCAGACCGCCAGCUAAGGUCCCAAAGUCAUGGUUAAGUGGGAAACGAUGUGGGAAGGCACAGACAGCCAGGAUGUUGGCUUAGAAGCAGCCAUCAUUUAAAGAAAGCGUAAUAGCUCACUGGUCGAGUCGGCCUGCGCGGAAGAUGUAACGGGGCUAAACCAUGCACCGAAGCUGCGGCAGCGACACUAUGUGUUGUUGGGUAGGGGAGCGUUCUGUAAGCCUGCGAAGGUGUGCUGUGAGGCAUGCUGGAGGUAUCAGAAGUGCGAAUGCUGACAUAAGUAACGAUAAAGCGGGUGAAAAGCCCGCUCGCCGGAAGACCAAGGGUUCCUGUCCAACGUUAAUCGGGGCAGGGUGAGUCGACCCCUAAGGCGAGGCCGAAAGGCGUAGUCGAUGGGAAACAGGUUAAUAUUCCUGUACUUGGUGUUACUGCGAAGGGGGGACGGAGAAGGCUAUGUUAGCCGGGCGACGGUUGUCCCGGUUUAAGCAUGUAGGCUGGUUAUCCAGGCAAAUCCGGAUAAUCAAGGCUGAGGUGUGAUGACGAGGCACUACGGUGCUGAAGUAACAAAUGCCCUGCUUCCAGGAAAAGCCUCUAAGCAUCAGGUAACAUUAAAUCGUACCCCAAACCGACACAGGUGGUCAGGUAGAGAAUACCAAGGCGCUUGAGAGAACUCGGGUGAAGGAACUAGGCAAAAUGGUGCCGUAACUUCGGGAGAAGGCACGCUGGUGUGUAGGUGAAGUCCCUGCGGAUGGAGCUGAGACCAGUCGAAGAUACCAGCUGGCUGCAACUGUUUAUUAAAAACACAGCACUGUGCAAACACGAAAGUGGACGUAUACGGUGUGACGCCUGCCCGGUGCCGGAAGGUUAAUUGAUGGGGUUAUCCGUAAGGAGAAGCUCUUGAUCGAAGCCCCGGUAAACGGCGGCCGUAACUAUAACGGUCCUAAGGUAGCGAAAUUCCUUGUCGGGUAAGUUCCGACCUGCACGAAUGGCGUAAUGAUGGCCAGGCUGUCUCCACCCGAGACUCAGUGAAAUUGAACUCGCUGUGAAGAUGCAGUGUACCCGCGGCAAGACGGAAAGACCCCGUGAACCUUUACUAUAGCUUGACACUGAACAUUGAGCCUUGAUGUGUAGGAUAGGUGGGAGGCUUUGAAGCGUGGACGCCAGUCUGCGUGGAGCCAACCUUGAAAUACCACCCUUUAAUGUUUGAUGUUCUAACGUUGGCCCCUGACCGGGGUUGCGGACAGUGUCUGGUGGGUAGUUUGACUGGGGCGGUCUCCUCCCAAAGCGUAACGGAGGAGCACGAAGGUUAGCUAAUCCUGGUCGGACAUCAGGAGGUUAGUGCAAUGGCAUAAGCUAGCUUGACUGCGAGCGUGACGGCGCGAGCAGGUGCGAAAGCAGGUCAUAGUGAUCCGGUGGUUCUGAAUGGAAGGGCCAUCGCUCAACGGAUAAAAGGUACUCCGGGGAUAACAGGCUGAUACCGCCCAAGAGUUCAUAUCGACGGCGGUGUUUGGCACCUCGAUGUCGGCUCAUCACAUCCUGGGGCUGAAGUAGGUCCCAAGGGUAUGGCUGUUCGCCAUUUAAAGUGGUACGCGAGCUGGGUUUAGAACGUCGUGAGACAGUUCGGUCCCUAUCUGCCGUGGGCGCUGGAGAAUUGAGGGGGGCUGCUCCUAGUACGAGAGGACCGGAGUGGACGCAUCACUGGUGUUCGGGUUGUCAUGCCAAUGGCACUGCCCGGUAGCUAAAUGCGGAAGAGAUAAGUGCUGAAAGCAUCUAAGCACGAAACUUGCCCCGAGAUGAGUUCUCCCUGAGACUUUAAGUCUCCUGAAGGAACGUUAAAGACGAUGACGUUGAUAGGCCGGGUGUGUAAGCGCAGCGAUGCGUUGAGCUAACCGGUACUAAUGAACCGUGAGGCUUAACCU
Molecule: ribosomal RNA, 2899 nt
Filed under: Klebsiella pneumoniae
Lineage: Bacteria; Pseudomonadati; Pseudomonadota; Gammaproteobacteria; Enterobacterales; Enterobacteriaceae
Description: 23S ribosomal RNA
Rfam family: Bacterial large subunit ribosomal RNA
Source: RNAcentral